CGGGGUGAGUAACACGUGGAUAACAUACCUAUAAGACUGGGAUAACUUCGGGAAACCGGAGCUAAUACCGGAUAAUAUUUUGAACCGCAUGGUUCAAAAGUGAAAGACGGUCUUGCUGUCACUUAUAGAUGGAUCCGCGCUGCAUUAGCUAGUUGGUAAGGUAACGGCUUACCAAGGCAACGAUGCAUAGCCGACCUGAGAGGGUGAUCGGCCACACUGGAACUGAGACACGGUCCAGACUCCUACGGGAGGCAGCAGGU
RNAcentral lists this ribosomal RNA (260 nucleotides) under uncultured Staphylococcus sp. RNAcentral's name for it is "partial 16S ribosomal RNA". It matches the Rfam family "Bacterial small subunit ribosomal RNA", at positions 100 to 354 of the family's 1533-position model. Lineage: Bacteria; Bacillati; Bacillota; Bacilli; Caryophanales; Staphylococcaceae. The record is from RNAcentral.